Molecule: non-coding RNA, 297 nt
Organism: Pelobates cultripes (western spadefoot toad)
Lineage: Eukaryota; Metazoa; Chordata; Amphibia; Anura; Pelobatidae
Source: the annotation of a GenBank genome assembly
AGAUGAGCUAAAACCAGCUUGAGAUCUGAGCAGGGACCCACCGAAGGUCAGGCUAUUUCAGCUGCUGUCCGUUCUCAGAAUACUCGUUUUUUGCUAUCAGGAAAUCCUAGGAGUAAACGUCAUGCAUGGGAAGAAGCUGAAGCUUGGACAUCAUUGGACCUUUCAGCAAGUCAAUGAUCCAAGCAUACCUCAAAUUCCACCAAGGCUUGUUUGCAGGCAUCACAGUCACCUGACUUGAACCCCAUAGAAAAUCUCUGGUGGGAUUUGUAGAAGUCAGUUAUUAUUACUGAACUGAAG